AUGCUUAGUCAGGAUUCCGAUUUCCUGUCGAAGUGUUUGGAUUUCCUGAAACCCGCGCCCUCCGCCGCCGAGCGGGAUUGUGCGAGCCGCUCGCGUCGCCGCGGCCUCCUCCCCCUCGGCACAUGGUCGCCCGCCCCUUCCUGCGCCGCGCUCGGCUCCCGCGCCUCGCCUGGCCUGGCCGCCGCCGCGGGCGAGCACUCUGCGCUGGGCAGCCCCGGGCCCGCGCCUCCCGCCCCGCCGGCGCUUCCCGGUCGCAGUUCGCUUUCCCACCCGAGAGCCGCGAGCGCCUGGCCGAGCCCGCGAUGGAAUAAUGCCCAGCGGCCCGCCAGGUCCCGGUUGUGUUGGCCUCCUUGUGCACUGCAUUGAGAGGAUAUUCAGACUGAAGGGGAGAAGCACUGAUUUUGAAGGAUGAAAAAGGAACAAUGUGAGUUAUUCCAUGUCUUAGAGAUAGUGUGGUAUGACAGAGAGAGUGUAAACUCUGGUAUCACAUAGUCCUGGGUUGGAGUCCUUCGUGGAAUCUGGCUCUGUCCCUUGCUUGGUGACCUUUGGCACCUUCUUUCCUCUGAACCUCAGUUUCCUCUCCUUUCCACUUGCACUGUCAAUACCCCCUGUAGAGUAUGGUGGAGACUCAAUUGGGAUCUUAUAGGCCAAGUAUGUGGCACCUGAGAGGCCCUGAAUAAAUGUCGGUUGUUCUACACUGAACCCUGUCCACAUGUGGGAUUCUUGGCAAGGGCUUAUUGGUGCUUGUGAAACCUAAUUAAUCAGAGGUGGGAAGAGAGAGCUGGCCUCUGGAAGGGCUUGCUUUUCAUAGGAGUAAACACAUUGUCAGUAACAAGAGGAGUCCCUGAGUCCCGGGGAGGAAGGGGCGAGACAUGGUGGCUCCUGGGAGGUCAUGAUAACUCUUACUGACAGGUAUAACUAUGAAGUCCCCAUUGCUCUCCAGUUCUUUAAAAUAUCAAGAAAAGCAGGUAAAAGCUCCUCAGCUCUGGAUGUCUUAAAAAUAGCCACUGAACGGAGUGGCCAAGCCAUUUUCCCCAUGACCUGCCACAUGAAGUCCCCCUUCCCCACCCACUCCUGCUCUGCCGUCUCUGCCCAGUAAUGACUCCUCAUGCAUCCUCAUCCCAGACACUCAGCUGGGAACCUUGAUAUUUAUUCCACGCAUAUUUGUUUGCAUUUACAUUGCAUGCCAGUGGUAUUCCAGGGGCUGGAUAAUAGUAGCAAACAUGACAGAAAAAUCCCUAUCCUCAUGGACCUUACAUUCCAGUGGGGCAACAGGUAGCAAACAAACAUGAAAUGGAUGGUGUAUGAGAUGACAAAUAGUCCUUGUGGAAGAAAAAUCAUCUGGAGAGGAGGCUGGGGCGUGCUGGGGAGGGUGUGCAUUGUUAAAUGGGGUGUUCAGAGGAGCUCUCCCUGAGAACAUGACACUAAUCAAAGACCCAAAGGAGCUGAGGGAGUGAGUACAUGGCAGUUUGGGGAGAAAUGAUUCCUAAGCACAGGGCCUGCCCUGUGCAGAGACCCUGAUAGCUGCAUGCAUGGCACAUUAAAGGAACCUCAAGGAGGCCAGUGUGGCUGGAGUGGAGUGAGUGACAAGAAAGUCGGUGCAGGAAAAGGUUUAUGGGUUGGGGAUGAGGGCUCAACCUUGCUGGGCAUUUUGAGGACUUUAGCUUUUGCCCUGAAUAACAAAAGCAGCUCUCGGAGGGUUGUGAGCGGAAGAAUGAUAUGGGCUUGGCUUACCUUUUUUUCCUAACCAGUGUAUUAGUUUAUGCUUGCACUGCUAUAAAGAACUACUUGAGACUGGAGAAUUGAUGAAGAAAAGAGUUUUAAUCAGCACACGGUUCUGCAGGCUGUACAGGCUUCUGCUUCUGGGGAGGCCUCAGGAAACUUUCAGUCAUGGUGGAAGGCGAAGGGGGAAGCAGGUGCCUCUUACAUGGUGGAGUGGGAGAAAGAGAGAGAGAGGAGGGAGGUGCCACACACUUUUCAACAAGCAGAUCUUGGGAGAGCUCUAUCACGAGACAGCACUAGAGGGAUGGUGCUAAACCAUUAGAAACACCUUCAUGAUUCAAUCACCUCCUACCAGGCCCCUCCUCCAACACUAGGGAUUAUAAUUCUACCUGAGAUUUGGGUGAGGACACAGAUCCAAACCAUAUCAAGCAGUAUCUGCUGUCUGCAAAUGCUUAAUGCUGGUGAGAGUGGAAGCAGUGGCAGUGGUGGGGAUGGUUGAACUCAGAAAUUAUGGAUUUCUUCUCCCUCCCUCAACUCAUCCAAACCAUGGCCAAGCUGAAUCAGUUCUACCUUGGCCAUUGUAGGGAGACUGGGAGGACUUUGGAGAUACUAUACGUCAAGUCUGUCAGUCUGUCAACCCCUUUAGAACAGGAAUGUGUCUUCUUUCUUAAGUGUCCUUAAAACCUAGCCCAGUGCCUGACAUAAGUGGUAGGCAUUUUAAAUGCUUAUGAUGAUUAGCCUGUCAUUAUCUGAUCCCUAAGACUGAAUUUGGAGCCAUCUUCAGUGCUCCCAGGAUCCCCUUGUACUUAACCUUUUCAAAACAUCUGUCAGUCUGAUCUUUCAUUGUCUGUCUGUUCCCUCUGCUGGUCCAUGAGCUUCAUGAGACCCAUGCUGUUUUUUGCUCUUUGUGUUUUUUGAGACAGAGUCUUGCUCUGUCGCCCAGGCUGGAGUUCAGUGGUGAGAUCUCGGCUCACUGCAACCUCUGCCUCACGGGUUCAAAGGAUUCUCAUACCUCAGCCUCCCACGCAGUUGGGACUACAGCUGUGCACCACCAUGCCCGGCUUAUUUUUGUAUUUUUAUUUACUUAUAUAUAUUUUGAGAUGAAGUCUCACUCUGUCACACAGGCUGGAGUGCAGUGGCAUAAUCUCACCUCAUUGUAACCUCUGCCUCCCAGGUUCAAGUGAUCCUCCUGCCUCAGCCUCCAAAGUAGCUGGGAUUACAGGUACCCACUACCAUGCCCAGCUAAUUUUUGUAUUUUUAGUAGAGAUGGGGUUUGGCCAUAUUGGCCAGGUUGGUCUUGAACUCCUGAUCUUGAGUGAUUCGCCCACUUUGGCCUCUCAAAGUGUUGGGAUUACAGAGAAAAGCCAUUGCGCCCGGCCUGACCCACACUGUUUUGUCCACUUUUUUUUUUUUUUUUUUAAAUUGAGACGGAGUCUUGCUCUGUCACCCAGGCUGGAGUGCAGUGGUGAGACCUCGGCUCACUGCAACCUCUGCCUCCUGGGUUCAAGCGAUUCUCCUGCCUCAACCUCCCGAGUAGCUGGGACUACAGGUGCAUGCCACCACGCCCGGCUAAUGUUUUGUAUUUUCAGUAGAGACGGGGUUUCAUCAUGUUAGCCAGGAUGGUCUCGAUCUCCUGACCUCGUGAUCCCCCUGCCUCGACCUCCCAAAGUGCUGGGAUUACAGGAGUGAGCCACUGCGCCCGGCCUGUUUUGUUCACUCUUGUAAGUGCAGUACCUGUCUCUGGGCCUGCUACCUGGUAGCUGCUCAGGAAGCGCUCUUUUAAAUGAAUGAAUGCACCUGGUCCCUUUUAUCACCUGCUGAGAAAGUCACUGGUUCCAGCCAGUAUCUCUUCCAAUCCCAGCAUGUCGCUGGGAAGAUUAAAUUGUUUUAAAAAAAACAAAAAAACAAAAAACCCUGAGCCUACAAGGUAGCCUCUGGGCUUUUUGAAGGGAAGAGCAAAGUCAGAGAGCUGUUACUGUUUGAAUCAGCAGUGCUGAAGGGCUCUUGGGAAGUGGAGUGCUCUCCGAGGCUUGCCUACACGGCAGAGGCAUGUGGAUAAUUGCAUCAGGAAAGUGGGGGGUGCUUGACCGCCAGACCGAUAGGCCGGGGGUGGGCCAGAGUCCUCCUGGGCUGGGAGAUCCCAGACAGUGUUUCCAGAAAUUCCGGUUGACUGAGUUUGCCUGUAUAGAACAGAGAGUGGGCAGCCACAGUCUCAUGUGAAGAUAUUUUGCCACUUUCCCAUUUUCAAGCUCAGCUCACAUUUAUUGAUUUUUUUUCACCCCAAGGCCUUUGACAAUUUCGUUAUCCAUUUUUAAAUUAUAAAUUUUCUAAUAGCUUUAUUGACAUACAAUUCACAUACCAUGCAAAUCACCAUUUAAAUUGCAGAAUUCAGUGGUUUUUAGUAUAUUCACAGAGUUGUGCAACCAUCGCUGCAGUCAAUUUUAGAACAUUUUCAUCACCCCCUCCUCAAAAAAUCUCUGUCCAUACCCAUUAGCAGUCACUUCCCAUUUUCCCAAUUCUCCUCCCCCAGCCCUAGGUAACCUUUAAUCUAUUUUCUGCACAAUUCCUUUUCUUCCCCCCAAAUGUAAACAUAAUAAACACUCAUAACAGAAAAUUCAGAAAGAACAAGAAAAGAUAAAGAGUCAGAUAAUGAUCAUCCAUAAUUAUCCAACCACUGAGAGCUGACCACUUUUGUCUAUCUAUGCUGAUACACUCACAGACACAUAGUUUUUGUGAACAGUGACAUCUUACACAUUCUUUUCAACUUACGCCUUCAUUUAAUAUAUAGGGACUCUCUUUCCAUGUUGAAUAAAUGCAGAUUUACAUGAUCAUUUUGGCUGACCAUGGAUAGAUCAUAAUUUAUUUGACUGGUUCUUUUUUAAUGGACAUUUAGGUUGUUUCUAGUUUUUGAAUGUACAUACUUGUCCAAAUAUUUACUUUUGACAAAUUCCCAGAGGCUGGAAUUUCUGGGACAAAGGGUAGGCACAUUUUCAAGUGUUGUACAUGUUACCAAGUCACCCUCCAGAAAGGUUUACCAAUCUGUACUUCUAUGAGCAAUUUUGCAAGUAUACGUUUCUUACCUGCCUCAGAUAUUAUCGAUUAUGUUAAUUUUUGCAUAACUGAUGGACUAAAGAUAAAUGUUCUUUAUUGCAUUUUUAAAUUUAAUGCUAAAGUUGAACAUAUUUCCCAGCUACUCAGGUGACUGAGGCAGGAGGAUCGCUUGAACCUGGGAGGUGGAGGUUGGAGUGAGCCGAGAUUACGCCACUGCACUCCAGCCAAAAAAAAAAAAAAAGGUAUAAAUAUGGAUUGUAAUAGUUGUUGUAAACUGACUGAAGCUAAUUGGUGCAAUUUAGUUCUAUUACUUGGUACUGUCCUUUUACAUAGACUUGGAUUCUAGACCUGACUUCGCCACCAACUGUGACCUCAGGCUGCUCAACCUCUGAGGGCCUCAAUUUCCUAUUCUGUAAAGUGUUGGAGGUGAAGCCGUUGGAUAUUUGAGGUUGUUUCUGGAUCCAUCUUUAUCCUUUCGUGAUAAGAAUAAUAGAAGGCAGCAGUGGUGAGGAAACUGAGGC
Molecule: long non-coding RNA, 5294 nt
Filed under: Papio anubis (olive baboon)
Lineage: Eukaryota; Metazoa; Chordata; Mammalia; Primates; Cercopithecidae
Description: lncRNA (ENSPANG00000040150.1)
Source: RNAcentral